Long non-coding RNA from Anas platyrhynchos (mallard), 1319 nucleotides. RefSeq lists it as uncharacterized. The record is from RefSeq and is a predicted model, not a curated record. NCBI's taxonomy places the organism in Eukaryota, Metazoa, Chordata, Aves, Anseriformes, Anatidae.
UUCACCUUAUUCUCCUCCAUGUUCUUACGAUACACAUCCCUCUACUCCAAAUGCAAUAUUGUGCUGUAACCUGUGCAUAGGGCUAAAUAUCCUGGUUGUCCAAAACAAAAGAUCUGCAUCAACAGCUUUCCACACCACACUUGCAGAGCUGCUGCAGGGUUAUCUGUGUGGGGUCAGAUAGAGCUGUUCAGGGAAUUCAUUUUAUGAAAAAGCAUAUGAUGCAGGGUACAUUGACAGCAUCCCUUAUAUAGAUGGAAGAUAGACUGCUGCUUGCAUAAAUAACUAGGUGCUAUCUCAGUAGCUUCCACAGAAGACUGGAAGCUCUGUUUUGUCUGUUUUGCUUUUUUUUUUUUUUUUUUUUUUUUCCCCUCUCUCCUUGAAAGGAAAAAGAACCUACAAAUUACAUCAAAGAAUUUCGGGAUUAAUUUAUCAGAAAUGUAGUGGGAGGGACCUUCCAAGGAAAGCAAGACUGGACAGACCUCUGCCUAAUUGAAAAAUAUGUGGCACCAAAAUGAGGAACAGAUUACUGAACAGAGAGCUUGAUAAGCAUCAUUUUUGCAGAAACCGUAUCAAGAGGCGUUACAUGGGAGACAAAGUACUUUCAAAUCUACAAACUUAGAAGAUCCUUUGUGAACUUGGGAAAAAUUGAGCAGGCUUGAUGAACUGUUCACAACUAAAAGCCAGUUAUAAUAUUGAAUAGGUACCAUGUUAGGGACAGUUCAUGACAGAUUCCAAGAAAUCUCUAGGAAAAAUAAAAUAAAAAUGAGGGGGUAAUGUAAUUGAGGAGAUGAAAAAAUCCUUAAUCAUUAUUGCAGUGCUAACCUGAGACAGCCACCCUUUGAACCAGUGAACUGAAGGUUGCAAUGCAGCUCUCAAAUUUGUAAAGGGGUGGGGGAACACUAGAGGCUUGGCUGAAAAAAAAUGCCUUAAAAGGUUAGUUGAAGUAGUGCAUCACAAAUGCUUAAAAGCAGUAAAGAAUGUAAACUCUCCAGAGCACAUUGCCCUCAGGGACAAAUGGGAGAGAUUAGCCUGCAUUGUUCUUUCUUGAGUAACCAUCUUAAUUCCAUCAUUAAUUAAAGUGACUGAGUUGGAGAAAGCUUUUGCAAGCCUGGGUCUUCAGCCCAUACCACAAGAAGGAGACAUGAACAGAAGAGUAAAUAUUUUCCAGAACUCCUGAGUCCAUAACUGUUCUCACACUCUGCUCUCCUCCUCUCCCACUUUGUUUUUCCUUGUUGUUCUUUAACUGACGAUUAAUAUGUUCUUGUUGGCAAGUGACAAAAAGUUCUCCUAAGCCUGAAUUUGAAACUGAGCUUGCAAAA